AAAAUCAAAAAAAAAUUUUGAGUUGGAAUUUAAUUUUUUUCUUCCUUGUAUUUAGUUUACUAUUGUAUUGGAUUUAAAAAAAAAGAGAAGAAAUUCGGAAAAAUAUUCAAAAAAAUCUAAAAAAAGGAAAAAAUAAAAGAAGUGACAAAAAAAUCGAGUUAAAAAAAAAGAAGAAAGAAAAAAAAGUGAAAAGUCUUGCGAGUUUUUAUCAUUAUCAGUUAUUACUCCGAUCAUCAAGUUUCCCUUCCUACCAUUAUUUACCCAUCCCAACGCCACACUUUAAACCAAUUUUCUUCUUUGUUCAGCCUACCCUACACCCGACAUUAUCCCUUGUAAACCAUUUUGAAACCGACCCUCAAG
RNAcentral lists this long non-coding RNA (360 nucleotides) under Gossypium raimondii (Peruvian cotton). Its description in RNAcentral is "long non-coding RNA (GRAI_LNC011295)". The record is from RNAcentral. Lineage: Eukaryota; Viridiplantae; Streptophyta; Magnoliopsida; Malvales; Malvaceae.